AGCAUUAAGGUGGGUGGAAUAAUAUAACAAUAUCCUCCAUGUUGUUAUAGUACUCCACCUACCCUGAUGUC
Gasterosteus aculeatus (three-spined stickleback) is the source of this 71-nucleotide microRNA precursor. It matches the Rfam family "mir-2985 microRNA precursor family". From Rfam's summary of the family: RNAs can be post-transcriptional modified, in micro RNAs (miRNA) editing of pre-mRNA is a common process. The record is from Rfam. Lineage: Eukaryota; Metazoa; Chordata; Actinopteri; Perciformes; Gasterosteidae.